Molecule: ribosomal RNA, 1009 nt
Filed under: Stenoonops sp. 302
Lineage: Eukaryota; Metazoa; Arthropoda; Arachnida; Araneae; Oonopidae
Description: SSU rRNA
Rfam family: Eukaryotic small subunit ribosomal RNA
Source: RNAcentral
ACUUUUUUACUUGGAUAACUGUGGCAAUUCUAGAGCUAAUACAUGCAGCAGAGCUCGGACCCCUCGGGGACGAGCGCUUUUAUUAGACCAAAGCCAACCGGGCCUCGUGCCCGUUCUCUGUGGCGACUCUGUAUAACUUUGGGCUGAUCGCACGGGCUCGUCCCGGCGACGCAUCUUUCAAGUGUCUGCCUUAUCAACUGUCGAUGGUAGGUUAUGCGCCUACCAUGGUCGUAACGGGUAACGGGGAAUCAGGGUUCGAUUCCGGAGAGGGAGCCUGAGAAACGGCUACCACAUCCAAGGAAGGCAGCAGGCGCGCAAAUUACCCACUCUCGGCACGAGGAGGUAGUGACGAAAAAUAACAAUACGGGACUCUUUUGAGACCCCGUAAUUGGAAUGAGUACACUCUAAACCCUAUAACGAGGAUCUAUUCGAGGGCAAGCCUAGUGCCAGCCGCCGCGGUAACUCUAGCUCGAAUAGCGUAUAUUAAAGUUGUUGCGGUUAAAAAGCUCGUAGUUGGAUCUCAGUUCCAGACGGGUGGUCUGCCGGUCGGUGGAUACUUCCCGGACUGAACAACCAGCCGGUUUCCCUCGAUGAUCUUUACCAAUUGUCUUGGGUGACCGGCACUUUUACUUUGAAAAAAUUAGAGUGCUCAAAGCAGGCGUUACGCCUGAAUAAUGGUGCAUGGAAUAAUAGAAUAGGACCUCGGUUCUAUUUUGUUGGUUUUCGGGACACGAGGUAAUGAUUAAGAGGGACAGACGGGGGCAUUCGUAUUGCGACGCUAGAGGUGAAAUUCUUGGACCGUCGCAAGACGAACUACUGCGAAAGCAUUUGCCAAGAAUGUUUUCAUUAAUCAAGAACGAAAGUUAGAGGUUCGAAGGCGAUCAGAUACCGCCCUAGUUCUAACCAUAAACGAUGCCAACCAGCGAUCCGCCUGAGUUCCUCAAAUGACUCGCCGGGCAGCUUCCGGGAAACCAAAGUGUUUGGGUUCCGGGGGAAGUAUGGUUGCAAA